RNAcentral lists this ribosomal RNA (434 nucleotides) under uncultured bacterium. Its description in RNAcentral is "bacterial SSU rRNA". It matches the Rfam family "Bacterial small subunit ribosomal RNA", at positions 29 to 507 of the family's 1533-position model. The record is from RNAcentral.
AACGAACGCUGGCGGCAGGCCUAACACAUGCAAGUCGAGCGCGCCUUCGGGGUGAGCGGCGGACGGGUGAGUAACGCGUGGGAAUAUGCCCUAUGGUGCGGAACAACUGAGGGAAACUUCAGCUAAUACCGCAUGUGCCCUACCGGGGGAAAGAUUUUAUCGCCAUAGGAGUAGCCCGCGUUGGAUUAGUUUGUUGGUGGGGUAAUGGCUCACCAAGACUACGAUCCAUAGCUGGUCUGAGAGGAUGAUCAGCCACACCGGGACUGAGGCACGGCCCAGACUCCUACGGGAGGCAGCAGUAGGGAAUCUUGCGCAAUGGGCGAAAGCCUGACGCAGCCAUGCCGCGUGAAUGAUGAAGGUCUUAGGAUUGUAAAAUUCUUUCACCGGGGACGAUAAUGACGGUACCCGGAGAAGAAGCUCCGGCUAACUUCGUG